UCUUCUUCUGAGAUGGAUUCUUUUGGAGAUGAAAGAAGCUGAAACACACUGGUAACAUCAGGAAAAGACUUCCAGGCUUGAAAUGCAGUCUUUUUACCUUUUCCAGCAAAGAACGACACAGUAUCACAACCAGUGACAGCAUGAAAGAAGGGUAGGGCUUCACAUUGCUCCCUACUCAACGAGCUUUGUGUAAUGUUAUGAAUUGGAAUUCCUUACCUCUGCCAUCAUCAAGAGAAGAAAGUGGAAUGUUAAUAGGUAGCGAAUCAAGUUUCUCGAAUUCUUUCAAGUUUUCUGCAAUUGUCUUGUAACUUGAGCCAGCAAGUAAAGUAUUUGAAGCUUU
Molecule: long non-coding RNA, 340 nt
Organism: Xenia sp. Carnegie-2017
Lineage: Eukaryota; Metazoa; Cnidaria; Anthozoa; Malacalcyonacea; Xeniidae
Exons: 2
Source: RefSeq, a predicted model, not a curated record